CCUACGGGUGACAGCAGUGGGGAAUAUUGGGCAAUGGAGGCAACUCUGACCCAGCAAUGCCGCGUGAGUGAUGAAGGUAAUUUUAUUGUAAAGCUCUUUUCUUUGGAACGAAUAAAUGACGGUACCAAAGGAAUCAGCCCCGGCUAACUACGUGCCAGCAGCCGCGGUAAUACGUAGGUGGCAAGCGUUGUUCGGAAUAACUGGGCGAAAAGGAUGCGUAGGCGGUGAAACAAGUUAUAUGUUAAAUAUAUAGGCUUAACCUGUAGAAAGCAUAUAAAACUGUUUAACUAGAGUGCAGGAGAGGUAAGUGGAAUUCCUAGUGUAGCGGUGAAAUGCGUAGAGAUUAGGAAGAACACCAGUGGCGAAGGCGACUUACUGGACUGUAACUGACGCUGAGGCAUGAGAGCAUGGGGAGCAAACAGGAUUAGAUACCCCAGUAGU
RNAcentral lists this ribosomal RNA (441 nucleotides) under uncultured bacterium. RNAcentral's name for it is "partial 16S ribosomal RNA". It matches the Rfam family "Bacterial small subunit ribosomal RNA", at positions 338 to 794 of the family's 1533-position model. The record is from RNAcentral.